UACAGAGGGUGCAAGCGUUAAUCGGAAUUACUGGGCGUAAAGCGCGCGUAGGCGGCUGUCUAAGUCGGGUGUGAAAGCCCCGGGCUCAACCUGGGAACUGCAUUCGAUACUGGACGGCUAGAGUAUGAGAGAGGGAGGUAGAAUUCCACGUGUAGCGGUGAAAUGCGUAGAUAUGUGGAGGAAUACCGGUGGCGAAGGCGGCCUCCUGGUUCAAUACUGACGCUGAGGUGCGAAAGCGUGGGGAGCAAACAGGAUUAGAAACCCGGGUAGU
Molecule: ribosomal RNA, 271 nt
Filed under: uncultured bacterium
Lineage: Bacteria
Description: partial 16S ribosomal RNA
Rfam family: Bacterial small subunit ribosomal RNA
Source: RNAcentral